UGAGAUCAGCGUGAAAACCAAUU
This 23-nucleotide microRNA is filed under the name Eisenia fetida (common brandling worm). RNAcentral describes it as "Efe-Bantam-P7_3p (mature (guide))". Lineage: Eukaryota; Metazoa; Annelida; Clitellata; Crassiclitellata; Lumbricidae. The record is from RNAcentral.